This 33-nucleotide ribosomal RNA is filed under the name Cladonia humilis. Its description in RNAcentral is "partial 28S ribosomal RNA". The record is from RNAcentral. Lineage: Eukaryota; Fungi; Ascomycota; Lecanoromycetes; Lecanorales; Cladoniaceae.
CAGUAGGGAUACCCGCUGAACUUAAGCAUAUCA